CCGCAAUGGGCGCAAGUCUGACGGAGCGACGCCGCGUGCGGGAUGAAGGCCUUCGGGUUGUAAACCGCUGUCAGUGGGGUGGAAAUCACAUGAGGCUAUCCUCAUGAGUUGACCUAACCGCAGAGGAAGUCCGGGCUAAGUACGUGCCAGCAGCCGCGGUAAUACGUACCGGACGAACGUUAUUCGGAAUCACUGGGCUUAAAGAGUGCGUAGGCGGCUUUACAGGUGGGGUGUGAAAUCCCACGGCUCAACCGUGGAACUGCGCUCCAAACCGUAGGGCUUGAGGGAGACAGGGGUGAGCGGAACUGAUGGUGGAGCGGUGAAAUGCGUUGAUAUCAUCAGGAACACCGGUGGCGAAGGCGGCUCACUGGGUCUCUUCUGACGCUGAGGCACGAAAGCUAGGGUAGCGAAAGGGAUUAG
RNAcentral lists this ribosomal RNA (420 nucleotides) under uncultured bacterium. RNAcentral's name for it is "bacterial SSU rRNA". It matches the Rfam family "Bacterial small subunit ribosomal RNA", at positions 366 to 781 of the family's 1533-position model. The record is from RNAcentral.